RNAcentral lists this ribosomal RNA (253 nucleotides) under uncultured bacterium. Its description in RNAcentral is "partial 16S ribosomal RNA". It matches the Rfam family "Bacterial small subunit ribosomal RNA", at positions 524 to 776 of the family's 1533-position model. The record is from RNAcentral.
UACGUAGGUGGCAAGCGUUAUCCGGAUUUAUUGGGCGUAAAGGGAACGCAGGCGGUCUUUUAAGUCUGAUGUGAAAGCCUUCGGCUUAACCGGAGUAGUGCAUUGGAAACUGGGAGACUUGAGUGCAGAAGAGGAGAGUGGAACUCCAUGUGUAGCGGCGAAAUGCGUAGAUAUAUGGAAGAACACCAGUGGCGAAAGCGGCUCUCUGGUCUGUAACUGACGCUGAGGUUCGAAAGCGUGGGUAGCAAACAGG